UAUGUGGUUAAUUCGAUGCAACGCGAAGAACCUUACCUGGUCUUGACAUCCCGGAGACCCUUAGGAAACUAGGGGGUGCUUCCAUCUGGAAGAAUCUGGAGACAGGUGCUGCAUGGCUGUCGUCAGCUCGUGUCGUGAGAUGUUGGGUUAAGUCCCGCAACGAGCGCAACCCUUGCCUUUAGUUGCCAGCAGUUCGGCUGGGCACUCUAAAGGGACUGCCGGUGUUAAACCGGAGGAAGGUGGGGAUGACGUCAAGUCCUCAUGGCCUUUAUGACCAGGGCUGCACACGUACUACAAUGGCCGAUACAAAGGGCAGCGACACUGCGAGGUGAAGCCAAUCCCGUAAAAUCGGUCUCAGUCCGGAUUGGAGUCUGCAACUCGACUCCAUGAAGUUGGAAUCGCUAGUAAUCGUGGAUCAGCAUGCCACGGUGAAUACGUUCCCGGGCCUU
RNAcentral lists this ribosomal RNA (449 nucleotides) under uncultured Desulfobulbus sp. Its description in RNAcentral is "bacterial SSU rRNA". It matches the Rfam family "Bacterial small subunit ribosomal RNA", at positions 938 to 1382 of the family's 1533-position model. Lineage: Bacteria; Pseudomonadati; Thermodesulfobacteriota; Desulfobulbia; Desulfobulbales; Desulfobulbaceae. The record is from RNAcentral.